This 624-nucleotide ribosomal RNA is filed under the name Bacillus sp. 13518. RNAcentral's name for it is "bacterial SSU rRNA". It matches the Rfam family "Bacterial small subunit ribosomal RNA", at positions 70 to 678 of the family's 1533-position model. Lineage: Bacteria; Bacillati; Bacillota; Bacilli; Caryophanales; Bacillaceae. The record is from RNAcentral.
AGAUGGGAGCUUGCUCCCUGAUGUUAGCGGCGGACGGGUGAGUAACACGUGGGUAACCUGCCUGUAAGACUGGGAUAACUCCGGGAAACCGGGGCUAAUACCGGAUGCUUGUUUGAACCGCAUGGUUCAAACAUAAAAGGUGGCUUCGGCUACCACUUACAGAUGGACCCGCGGCGCAUUAGCUAGUUGGUGAGGUAAUGGCUCACCAAGGCAACGAUGCGUAGCCGACCUGAGAGGGUGAUCGGCCACACUGGGACUGAGACACGGCCCAGACUCCUACGGGAGGCAGCAGUAGGGAAUCUUCCGCAAUGGACGAAAGUCUGACGGAGCAACGCCGCGUGAGUGAUGAAGGUUUUCGGAUCGUAAAGCUCUGUUGUUAGGGAAGAACAAGUGCCGUUCAAAUAGGGCGGCACCUUGACGGUACCUAACCAGAAAGCCACGGCUAACUACGUGCCAGCAGCCGCGGUAAUACGUAGGUGGCAAGCGUUGUCCGGAAUUAUUGGGCGUAAAGGGCUCGCAGGCGGUUUCUUAAGUCUGAUGUGAAAGCCCCCGGCUCAACCGGGGAGGGUCAUUGGAAACUGGGGAACUUGAGUGCAGAAGAGGAGAGUGGAAUUCCACGUGUAG